RNAcentral lists this ribosomal RNA (480 nucleotides) under uncultured bacterium. Its description in RNAcentral is "partial 16S ribosomal RNA". It matches the Rfam family "Bacterial small subunit ribosomal RNA", at positions 28 to 507 of the family's 1533-position model. The record is from RNAcentral.
GACGAACGCUGGCGGCGCGCUUAACACAUGCAAGUCGAGCGAUGAAAUCUUGACAGAUCCCUUCGGGGUGAAGAUAAGAUGGAUUAGCGGCGGACGGGUGAGUAACACGUGAGUAACCUGCCUUAGACAUUGGGAUAGCCUCGGGAAACCGGGAUUAAUACCAAAUGAAAUCAUAGGUGCCCAUGCACUAAUGAUCAAAACUCCGGUGGUCUAAGAUGGACUCGCGUCCCAUUAGCUAGUUGGUGAGGUAAUGGCCCACCAAGGCGACGAUGGGUAGCCGGCCUGAGAGGGUGAACGGCCACAUUGGAACUGAGAAACGGUCCAAACUCCUACGGGAGGCAGCAGUGGGGAAUAUUGCACAAUGGAGGGAACUCUGAUGCAGCGACGCCGCGUGAACGAUGAAGGCUUUCGAGUCGUAAAGUUCUUUUAUAUGGGAAGAUAAUGACGGUACCAUAAGAAAAAGCCCCGGCUAACUACGUG